RNAcentral lists this ribosomal RNA (601 nucleotides) under uncultured archaeon. RNAcentral's name for it is "bacterial SSU rRNA". It matches the Rfam family "Archaeal small subunit ribosomal RNA", at positions 76 to 663 of the family's 1478-position model. The record is from RNAcentral.
UGGCGGCGAACGGCUCAGUAACACGUAGUCAACCUGCCCUCGGGAUGAGAACAAUCUCGGGAAACUGAGGCUAAUUCUCGAUAGGUCAAGAUUCCUGAAAUGGGUUUUGGCUUAAAGGGGAUAACAGCAUCUUGUUAUUUCGCCCGAGGAUGGGACUGCGGCCGAUCAGGCUGUUGGUGGGGUAAAGGCUCACCAAACCAGUAACCGGUACGGGCUUUGAGAGAAGGAGCCCGGAGAUGGACACUGAGACAAGGGUCCAGGUCCUACGGGGCGCAGCAGGCGCGAAGCCUUCGCAAUGUGCGAAAGCACGACGAGGUUAUUCCGAGUGAUUUCCGCUGAGGAAAUCUUUUCUCAGAUCUAAAAUGUCUGGGGAAUAAGGGGAGGGCAAGUCUGGUGUCAGCCGCCGCGGUAAUACCAGCUCCUCGAGUGGUCAGGGCGUUUAUUGGGCCUAAAGCAUCCGUAGCCGGCUCAGUAGGUCUCCUGUUAAAUCCAACGGCUCAACCGUUGGCCUGCAGGAGAUACCGCUGGGCUAGGAGGCGGGAGAGGCGGACGGUACUCCGAAGGUAGGGGUAAAAUCCUUUGAUCCCCGGAAGACCACCAG